GAGGCUUGUGGUGGUGGUGGUGGACGGGGAGGAUUGGUCUCCGGCGAAGUAAGAUGUGAAGAAAUACAGAGAGAGGAACAACCAGAUGACCCAUCUGUAAUAGUUUCUGAAGAAGAUGAAGAAGAGGUUUGUUUUGUUGUGUCCACCUCUGUUGUUGUUGUUGUUGUUUAGUUGCAUUUUGACGAUGAAACCAGUCUUCUUCUUGGUCUUGUUGAUGCUAGGUCUCUUAAUGUCGAGCGACAUUGCUUGAUUGUUAAGAGGAGCAAGCAAAGAUGAAACCAAGCUUUCUCUUUGUUGGUGAUGAUAAUGAUUGAGAAGUAGAAAUCAAGGGUUGGAGAUUGGGAGAGAUGUAGAGAAAGGGUCGUUG
RNAcentral lists this long non-coding RNA (367 nucleotides) under Brassica rapa (field mustard). Its description in RNAcentral is "long non-coding RNA (BRAP_LNC007869)". Lineage: Eukaryota; Viridiplantae; Streptophyta; Magnoliopsida; Brassicales; Brassicaceae. The record is from RNAcentral.